RNAcentral lists this long non-coding RNA (1797 nucleotides) under Gossypium barbadense (sea-island cotton). RNAcentral's name for it is "long non-coding RNA (GBAR_LNC006762)". Lineage: Eukaryota; Viridiplantae; Streptophyta; Magnoliopsida; Malvales; Malvaceae. The record is from RNAcentral.
CCUUACUACAUUAGAAAUCUUUUCCAUUUAUAUUCCCUUUUCCUUUAGCCAAUUCGACCUCCUCUGCUUCGACUGUCGCAUACCCUUCUCGUUUACUUGGUAGAGUCUACUUGGUUGUGCAUCUGUCAGCGCAUACCUCAAGGGCCUCUAUCUUACGCAUGAGAUAAACACUUGGAUCGCCCAUUCAUUGUUCAGCUCCUUAACUGCCAACGUUGUUGUAUGAAAACAUCAGAUAUACUCCUGUAGCAUCUGUUCCUGAUUUUGGGUAAUCAACAUCAAGCUUUGCUAAGAUUCUUAAGGUGUGUUUGUAGCUGCCGAAAUGCACCAUGAAAUUUUUGCUCAACUGGUCAAAAUUCACGAUCAAUCCUAGUGCCAACGAUUAGCACCAUUGUCUAGUAGGUCCUUUGAGUGUAGUUGGGAAAAUACGACACUGGAUGGAUCAUGAACAUUCCUAAGAUAAUGAAAAGCCUUGAAAUGGUUCAAAUGGUCCAGAGGAUUGAUGAAGCCAUCAUAAACUUCUGGCGAUAUUUUGACUUUAGUAGGCACUGAUAGUUGUCGAAUAACAAGGGAUAAUGGGUUAUGAGUAGCGUCCAACCACUAAAAGUCAUUCUGGGUUGGCUAUUUUACAUUCUUUAACUUCUACUUCAAGGCUACGGCCGGCUCUACAAGAUCAACUGCCUUAGGUUGGUAACUUUUUGUUUUACGCUUUGAUGGAGGUUGAAGCGCGCUUUGGCUUGAUUACUUGUAUUGGGGCUCUAUGGCUAAACUCGAGCUUUCAUCAGGCACAACAGGUUUUGAAGGACAUGUAGUGGUUCUUUGUUCAUCUAUGUGGAUUUUAAGGAGCUGUUCUAGUUGUCUUUGUCUUCUGUCUAGAGCCCUUUAUUGUGCUUCGAAUGCAUUAGACAAGAAUCGAAAUUGUGACGUGCAUUGGGAAUGAGGAUUGGGCUGCUGUGAACCCAAGGGUAUAGCAUUAGCCAUUGACAACUAUGAAAAUAUUUGCUAUAGGUUGUUGACGUCCGGCGGUCUGGAUGUGACUAAUAGAGUGCUCAAUCUAGGGAUCACAUGAUUAGUUGCAAAUGAAGAUGGUUGUCCAAGAUUGGUCUACACAUUAGUCAAAAUUGAUGAAUUGGUUCGGUGAUGAGGACGGUUAUGGUGCUAUAUCCAUGGUUAGGUCGUAUUCAAUUAGUGAAAUGCAAAGGAUGUGUGUCUGAGGUCAUUCUAGCAUUUCCAAUAAUUGUUAGCUUGUGAGGAGGAUUGGUAGUCACGAUAACCAUGAGUGAUUGAAAAAAAUUGCCUGAAGUGAUGACCUUUGGCUCAAGGCUUUGCGUACUGGUGUUGAUUUGGAUAAGUUGUUUAGCAAGAGAAUCCAGGGCUUUUGUUCAGGUUCCCACAGAUGGUGCCAAUUGUUUAUGUCAAUUUUUGAGGGUUAGGCUGAGAUGAUGGUUAGUAAGCUACGACAAUCUGCAAAAAGGGAAACAGGUCAAAAGGGUAUCGAAAUUUUAUCUUCGAAGCACUCUCCAAUACUCAAGUCAGUAUGAUUAUAAGCAAUAGAGAGUGUGAAAUAAGGUUUGGGAUAAAAGGGUGUUUUGUACCUUAUUGGUGGUGUGCAUGAGCUUUUAUAAGCUUUGUGCUCCCUGUUCAAGAUUGCCUGGGUAGAUGCCCUAAAUUUAACAGUUUUGCGUGUAAGCUUUCUUUGCAAAUUCAGGGUUACUAGAUCCCUUAUUCGUUUCGUGCCUACAACUUGAGCUAAAGAAAAUCUUCAAGAAAAAAAAAAAGGAAAAAAGAGAGAGAAUGCUU